RNAcentral lists this ribosomal RNA (468 nucleotides) under uncultured bacterium. RNAcentral's name for it is "partial 16S ribosomal RNA". It matches the Rfam family "Bacterial small subunit ribosomal RNA", at positions 28 to 507 of the family's 1533-position model. The record is from RNAcentral.
GACGAACGCUGGCGGCGUGCUUAACACAUGCAAGUCGAACGGAAAGGCCCUGCUUUUGUGGGGUGCUCGAGUGGCGAACGGGUGAGUAACACGUGAGUAACCUGCCCUUGACUUUGGGAUAACUUCAGGAAACUGGGGCUAAUACCGGAUAGGAGCUCCUGCUGCAUGGUGGGGGUUGGAAAGUUUCGGCGGUUGGGGAUGGACUCGCGGCUUAUCAGCUUGUUGGUGGGGUAGUGGCUUACCAAGGCUUUGACGGGUAGCCGGCCUGAGAGGGUGACCGGCACCAUGGGGACUGGGAUACGGCCCAGCCUCCUCCGGGAGGCAGAAGUGGGGAAUAUUGAACAAUGGGCGGAAGCCUAAUGCAGAAACGCCGCGUGCGGGAUGACGGCCUUCGGGUUGUAAACCGCUUUCGCCUGUGACGAAGCGUGAGUGACGGUAAUGGGUAAAGAAGCACCGGCUAACUACGUG